AGGAUAGAGUGUGUGGGGUAGCACGGAGAAAUUUGGAUUCUCAGGGGUGGGUUCGAUACCCACAGUCCUAG
RNAcentral lists this transfer RNA (71 nucleotides) under Macaca fascicularis (crab-eating macaque). RNAcentral's name for it is "tRNA-Gln". The record is from RNAcentral. Lineage: Eukaryota; Metazoa; Chordata; Mammalia; Primates; Cercopithecidae.